Pipistrellus kuhlii (Kuhl's pipistrelle) is the source of this 283-nucleotide long non-coding RNA. RefSeq lists it as uncharacterized. NCBI's taxonomy places the organism in Eukaryota, Metazoa, Chordata, Mammalia, Chiroptera, Vespertilionidae. The record is from RefSeq and is a predicted model, not a curated record. The transcript has 2 exons.
AUUAGUCAAACUCUGAGACAGAAAGAAUGGAGGUUGCCAGGGGCUAAGGAAAGAAAAGGGGGAAUUGUUGUUUAAUGGUGUAAAGUUUUAGUUCUGCAAGAUAAAAAAUGUUCCUGAGACUAGUUGCACAAAAAUGUGGAUGCACUUAACACUAUUGAACAGUACAUUUAAAAGAUGGUAAAUUUUAUGUUAUGUCAGGUGUGCCAGAAGAUGCAGAAAGCGAGAAAGGAAUAGAGAUCAUAUUUGAAGAAAUAAUGGUAGGAAACUUCCCUAACCUGGUAAA